Molecule: ribosomal RNA, 253 nt
Filed under: uncultured bacterium
Lineage: Bacteria
Description: partial 16S ribosomal RNA
Rfam family: Bacterial small subunit ribosomal RNA
Source: RNAcentral
UACGUAGGAGACAAGCGUUGUCCGGAAUUACUGGGUGUAAAGCGCGUGUAGGCGGUAGGCCAAGUCUGCUGUGAAGUCGCCCGGCUCAACUGGGCGCGGUCGGUGGAAACUGGUCAACUGGAGGACGGUAGAGGCGAGUGGAAUUCCCGGUGUAGUGGUGAAAUGCGUAGAGAUCGGGAGGAACACCAGUGGCGAAGGCGGCUCGCUGGGCCGGUCCUGACGCUGAGACGCGAAGGCGUGGGGAGCGAACGGG